GGGCGGUUAGCUCAGCGGGAGAGCAUCGGCCUUACAAGCCGGGGGCCACAGGUUCAAAUCCUGUACCGCCCA
Molecule: non-coding RNA, 72 nt
Organism: Deltaproteobacteria bacterium
Lineage: Bacteria; Pseudomonadati; Myxococcota; Myxococcia
Source: Rfam